Molecule: long non-coding RNA, 777 nt
Filed under: Gossypium barbadense (sea-island cotton)
Lineage: Eukaryota; Viridiplantae; Streptophyta; Magnoliopsida; Malvales; Malvaceae
Description: long non-coding RNA (GBAR_LNC016981)
Source: RNAcentral
UCAAUUACACACCAUUUCUCACAUCAAUUUUCAGAGAAAAACUUUGAGUAUUCUUACCUUUCUCAUGGCUUGUUAACAUUCGAAUUCCAUAAAAUAAGACAAUUACUUGCCAAAAUGAGAGCAACUAGGAGGUUGACUUGAAGAUGUUUAAGUGAUUUUAACAUAAAGACAAGGAGGAAAGCCACUAUGGGAAGCCGCAAAGAGUAGCCGUAGAUAGCCCCCUACAUCCAGCUGUUUACUCUUUGCAUUGUGAAAUGACCGUAGAUAGCCCCCCUCAGCUACUAUUUCUUACCCUUCUCUUUAUUGUUAAAUUAUUGUUUUAUAUGUCAGGAGAUAAGAUUGCAUCUCAAUCUUUAUUUUUCCAGUUUAAUAUGACAUGACUUAAUUUUGUUUAUUCAAAAUGGAUAUGACUCUUGAUUUGAGUUCAUUGGCAUUUGUUUCUUAAUAUUUUGUGCGAAUGAUUAUUUCAUUCAUUUAGGUUUAAUUCAUGACCAACAUUUGUAGGUAAUUGAAUUAAUUAUUUAAUUUGGGAAGAGGUAAUAGUUAAUAGACGUAAGACCUAAAUGAUGCAUAUCAUGUCAAUUUCGGAAGAUAAUUGUUGUAGCAUAAAUUGUGUAAAUGCCCGGAAGGGUGAUUUCUAAGUUAGUUUUUUGACAUAGGGAUAUUCAAAUUAACUUAAGAACAAAAUAGGACUUUGGGAAGAGCCUAUGUUUUAAUUAAAUGACCUUAAUGAAUUUUCAUAUUGCCACGAACUAUUCAUGAUAUUCAUUUUAUGAC